This 468-nucleotide ribosomal RNA is filed under the name uncultured bacterium. RNAcentral's name for it is "partial 16S ribosomal RNA". It matches the Rfam family "Bacterial small subunit ribosomal RNA", at positions 28 to 507 of the family's 1533-position model. The record is from RNAcentral.
GACGAACGCUGGCGGCGUGCUUAACACAUGCAAGUCGAACGGAAAGGCCCUGCUUUUGUGGGGUGCUCGAGUGGCGAACGGGUGAGUAACACGUGAGUAACCUGCCCUUGACUUUGGGAUAACUUCAGGAAACUGGGGCUAAUACCGGAUAGGAGCUCCUGCUGCAUGGUGGGGGUUGGAAAGUUUCGGCGGUUGGGGAUGGACUCGCGGCUUAUCAGCUUGUUGGUGGGGUAGUGGCUUACCAAGGCUUUGACGGGUAGCCGGCCUGAGAGGGUGACCGGCCACAAUGGGACUGAGAUACGGCCCAGUCUCCUACGGGAGGCAGCAGUGGGGAAUAUUGCACAAUGGGCCGAAGCCUGAUGCAGCAACGCCGCGUGCGUGAUGACGGCCUUCGGGUUGUAAACCGCUUUCGCCUGUGACGAAGCGUGAGUGACGGUAAUGGGUAAAGAAGCACCGGCUAACUACGUG